This 507-nucleotide unclassified non-coding RNA is filed under the name Hevea brasiliensis (rubber tree). The record is from RNAcentral. Lineage: Eukaryota; Viridiplantae; Streptophyta; Magnoliopsida; Malpighiales; Euphorbiaceae.
ACAACAGUCUCAAAAUAUUUUUCCUUGUCACUCUGCCAUAUUCGUUCCUUACUCCCUGUAUUUAUGUCAAACAAAUCGAGAAACGGAAUGUUGCCUUCUGGGGUAGCGCCACUUCCAUUUAACAAUAUGUAAGUGUCCCCAUCAUCUUCCUUCUUCACCUUCGCAAUAACAUAUGUUCCAGCAGGAGUUCUCCGAGACAUGGGAGAACCAGGAUCAGAAUACACAUCUUCUGAUGAUCGAUCAAAUAGUAUCCGGGGAUUUACAUCCUCUGAUCCGGGAGAUAUAACCCAUGUCCUCACCUUCCUUGUUUUGUACCACGAUUCGUAAACCAAUGCAAGUGUAUCAUCACACCAGGAAAUCCCUCCAUAACGAAGGUCCAGUUUAUGUAAAAUUUUAGGUUGUUCAUUGUCAUGUGGUGCAGGAGAUUGUGUAUAGACUAUGUCACGUGGAGAAACGUCAACUUUUGCAUCACCGCCAUCUUGUGUCUCAACCCAAUAGAGAGUCGAC